GACGAACGCUGGCGGCGUGCUUAACACAUGCAAGUCGAACGGUAAGGCCCUUCGGGGUACACGAGUGGCGAACGGGUGAGUAACACGUGGGUGAUCUGCCCUGCACUUCGGGAUAAGCCUGGGAAACUGGGUCUAAUACCGGAUAGGACCCUGGGAUGCAUGUCCUGGGGGGGAAAGCUUUUGCGGUGUGGGAUGGGCCCGCGGCCUAUCAGCUUGUUGGUGGGGUGAUGGCCUACCAAGGCGACGACGGGUAGCCGGCCUGAGAGGGUAACCGGCCACACUGGGACUGAGAUACGGCCCAGACUCCUACGGGAGGCAGCAGUGGGGAAUAUUGCACAAUGGGCGCAAGCCUGAUGCAGCGACGCCGCGUGAGGGAUGACGGCCUUCGGGUUGUAAACCUCUUUCAGCACCGACGAAGCGCAAGUGACGGUAGGUGCAGAAGAAGGACCGGCCAACUACGUGCCAGCCGCCGCGGUAA
RNAcentral lists this ribosomal RNA (478 nucleotides) under uncultured bacterium. RNAcentral's name for it is "partial 16S ribosomal RNA". It matches the Rfam family "Bacterial small subunit ribosomal RNA", at positions 28 to 523 of the family's 1533-position model. The record is from RNAcentral.